Molecule: long non-coding RNA, 377 nt
Organism: Rosa rugosa (rugosa rose)
Lineage: Eukaryota; Viridiplantae; Streptophyta; Magnoliopsida; Rosales; Rosaceae
Exons: 3
Source: RefSeq, a predicted model, not a curated record
UUGAGAAGCCUAUACCUACUAUUCUGCUAAGCUGGUUUCUUUUCAGUUCCCUUGCAGAUAGUAGGCAAUAUGUAUGUAUGUUUUGUUUAUUUUAUGUUUCCCCCUGUGAUACUUGGUGGUUUUAAUUUUAAGUUGGUCAAUUUUAACUUAUUAUAUGUUCAAUGGAGGGUCGCAGAAAUAAUCAAGAGAAGUAGUACAUGGUGGAGAGAUGGGUUCAGCCUUGGCAACAGAGGGAUCAAAUGAAUAUAAUUCAAGGAAGAAAGACAAGCUUGGUGAACCAAUAGCAGCUCCACGACGGCUUGUUUCUUCUUUGUGGAAAGAUCAGCUAUUGCUUCCAAUGAUGAAGUGAAAUCAUAGGAAAGGUACUUAAGUUCACU